AUAAUGAGCCCACCCUAGACCAGGAGGACCCAGUCCUUGUUCAGUAUGUGGUUGAGGAGGUUGGGCACCGGCCCUGUCUGGCUUUAAUCCCUUGGUCUGGACCUCUGUGGGUUCCCAGCUCUCCAACAUAUUACCUUACCCAUGCUGGGAGGAUGCUGGUGAGAGAGCUGGCAGUGUUAAACACGCAGAUAGCUAGGAGGAUGGUAUGGAAUGAACUGUCCUCUCAAAAUGAACAGGUAGCCAUUCAUAUGCAGUAUGUGGAUGAGGAGGUUGGGCAGCGGACCUGUCUGGCUU
Molecule: long non-coding RNA, 294 nt
Organism: Coregonus clupeaformis (lake whitefish)
Lineage: Eukaryota; Metazoa; Chordata; Actinopteri; Salmoniformes; Salmonidae
Exons: 5
Source: RefSeq, a predicted model, not a curated record